CUCAGGUGAGCUGGGAGGAAUAUGCUUCAGCGAGAGUCCACAUGGCUUACCUCACAGGGGACAGAGGGAUCAUGGAUGAAGAUGGUUCCUUCUGGUGGACUGGUAGAGCUGAUGAUGUCCCAGAUGGUCCAAUGCAAUAAUGGCAAUACUGGGGACUCAAUGAGCAAAAUGUGCAAAUUUUCCAACUACCUGGGACAAAGGCAUUGCUGUUACUCCUUCGAAAUCUCAAGUCCACACCCUUUGGAACUCAGACUCUCACCCUUGGAGACAGUCACUGGACAUCCAUGCAUUCGACCACUGCCCCUUUUGACCCACAGGUGGGAAAAGGGGAUAUAUUUCAAUAAUGCAAACAUCUAGUUGCUUCUAUUAAAACUAACCAUGUUGUAGCAGAGCAAUCUUUUCACAGGCCACUCCCAGCGGACACUUACCUUGAUCAUCACACCUUGCAACCUGGAGAGUCUCUCCAUUGGAAAAGACACCUCCACAGAGAUUCUCUUCAACCUCCCUUGAGAGGCCCUUAUCACAUACUGCUAACCAAACCUUGUGCUGCCAAAUCCCAGGGAAUGGACUCUUGGGUCCACGGGACACAUUUAAAGAAGGCACCAAACCCUGACUGGACCUGUACACCAGCUGGUGACAAGAAGGGCUCACCCACGAGAAGCUACAACACUUGGAACUCCCAGAUGCCACCAAUGGACCUUCGGUUCUUAACAGCCUUCCAAAUUGCCCCCUUUCCUCCUGAAAACAGGGAGCCUCUCUGAUAUUCC
Molecule: long non-coding RNA, 767 nt
Organism: Mirounga angustirostris (Northern elephant seal)
Lineage: Eukaryota; Metazoa; Chordata; Mammalia; Carnivora; Phocidae
Exons: 3
Source: RefSeq, a predicted model, not a curated record